GAUGAACGCUGACAGAAUGCUUAACACAUGCAAGUCAACUUGAAUUUGGGUUUUUUAACUUAGAUUUGGGUGGGGGACGGGGGAGGAAGGCGUAAAGAACUUGCCCCACAGCUAGGGAAAACAUUGGGAAAGGAAUGCUAAUACCUGAAAUUAUGAUUAUAAGGCAUCUUGGAAUUAUGAAAGUUUCUGCGGUGGUGGAGGGCUUUGCGGCCCAUUAGCUUGUUGGGGAGGUAACGGCUCACCAAGGCGAUGAUGGGUAGCCGGCCUGAGAGGGUGAACGGCCACAAGGGGACUGAGACACGGCCCUUACUCCUACGGGAGGCAGCAGUGGGGAAUAUUGGACAAUGGACCAAGAGUCUGAUCCAGCAAUUCUGUGUGCACGAUGACGUUUUUCGGAAUGUAAAGUGCUUUCAGUUGGGAAGAAAAAAAUGACGGUACCAACAGAAGAAGUGACGGCUAAAUACGUG
RNAcentral lists this ribosomal RNA (467 nucleotides) under uncultured bacterium. RNAcentral describes it as "partial 16S ribosomal RNA". It matches the Rfam family "Bacterial small subunit ribosomal RNA", at positions 28 to 507 of the family's 1533-position model. The record is from RNAcentral.